This 255-nucleotide ribosomal RNA is filed under the name uncultured bacterium. RNAcentral describes it as "partial 16S ribosomal RNA". It matches the Rfam family "Bacterial small subunit ribosomal RNA", at positions 524 to 777 of the family's 1533-position model. The record is from RNAcentral.
UACGGAGGGGGCUAGCGUUGUUCGGAAUUACUGGGCGUAAAGGGCGCGUAGGCGGUGCGAUCAGUCAGGCGUGAAAGGCCCGGGCUCAACCCGGGGACUGCGCUUGAUACUGUUGCGCUGUGAGUCCGGGAGAGGAUGGCGGAAUUCCCAGUGUAGAGGUGAAAUGCGCAGAUAUCGGGAGGAACACCAAUGGCGAAGGCAGUUCUCUGGGCCGUAACUGACGCUGAGGAGCGAAAGCGUGGGGAGCGAACAGGA